UUCACUCCUAACCCUUCUGUGACCUACCUAUCGUUGCUUCGGCGGACUCGCCCCAGCCCGGACGCGGACUGGACCAGCGGCCCGCCGGGGACCUCAAACUCUUGUAUUCAGCAUCUUCUGAAUACGCCGCAAGGCAAAACAAAUGAAUCAAAACUUUCAACAACGGAUCUCUUGGCUCUGGCAUCGAUGAAGAACGCAGCGAAAUGCGAUAAGUACUGUGAAUUGCAGAAUCCAGUGAAUCAUCGAAUCUUUGAACGCACAUUGCGCCCGCCAGCAUUCUGGCGGGCAUGCCUGUUCGAGCGUCAUUUCAACCCUCGACCUCCCCUGGGGGAGGUCGGCGUUGGGGACCGGCAGCACACCGCCGGCCCUGAAAUGGAGUGGCGGCCCGUCCGCGGCGACCUCUGCGUAGUAAUACAGCUCGCACCGGAACCCCGACGCGGCCACGCCGUAAAACACCCAACUUCUGAACGUUGCCCUCGAAUCAGGUACGACUACCCGCUGAACUUAAGCAUAUCAAAGCGAAGGAAAAAC
This 531-nucleotide ribosomal RNA is filed under the name Beauveria bassiana. Its description in RNAcentral is "eukaryotic LSU rRNA". The stretch from base 152 to 305 matches the Rfam family "5.8S ribosomal RNA". Lineage: Eukaryota; Fungi; Ascomycota; Sordariomycetes; Hypocreales; Cordycipitaceae. The record is from RNAcentral.